Molecule: long non-coding RNA, 799 nt
Organism: Ictalurus punctatus (channel catfish)
Lineage: Eukaryota; Metazoa; Chordata; Actinopteri; Siluriformes; Ictaluridae
Source: Ensembl
CUCUGCUGUAGUGCUACAUGUUCAUUCUCUUUUACAGCAUGCUCCGUGUUUCUGUUCGAUAGGUUAGGUAGAAAAUAUGUUUAGUAACAGAAUUCCGCUGUGUACAGAGCUGAAUAUGAAUGUAGAAGAUGGCAGAGCGGUGUGUGGUGAGAGUAGCGAGCUCGCGCGUGGAGCCGCCGCCAUCUUGUUAGCUUCAGUGUAGCCGAGAGGGUUACUGAGGGGAUUAUAAUAAUAACUAAUAGUUUUCUUCAUCCCUACUUAUAAAGCGAGGUUUUCCAUAGUUAUAGCCUCGUUUUGUGCCGUGAAAAGUAAUAUUUUCCAUAUAAAAUAUAGCCGCUUGGCAGGCCAUGCGGUAAAACUAGAUGCUGAGUAGCUAAUGUUUUAGCGCGUUAUGUUGGGAAUUAGAAUCCUGUGUGAUAACGCCUUUAAAAUAAAACCUGUAUUGAAUUGAGCGGCUGGCAUGCAGAAGCUAGUGAGGAUGGCAGCGUUGUGAAGGUGAACGCGGACAGUUGAAAGGUGUGUUAACUCUUUGGGGCCGUGAGCAUCGCCUGCGAGUUUCAGCAUGGAGCAGGACGGGUAAAUCAGGACAGGUACAUGCUGAUGGAACACUCAGGUAGACUUUUGCACAGGAACCUUCUGGUGUGUUAGAAUAAUUCUAGUAAACUGUGUACUGACUGUGCACUAAAUCCCUACAAUACUACAUGUUCCUUUUAUUCUGAUGUUAAAGUGCUGAAAUAAGUGUGUCCUACAAUAAAGUGAUGAAAUGUGUGAAGUUGUAUCGUCGUUCUUGCUGACUUCU